GGCCUCGUAGCUCAACUGGUAGAGCACACGCGGUACUCAAUCGUUGGUGGUAACCACGUGUGAGUUCGAAUCCCUCCGGGGUCA
Molecule: transfer RNA, 84 nt
Filed under: Fasciola hepatica (liver fluke)
Lineage: Eukaryota; Metazoa; Platyhelminthes; Trematoda; Plagiorchiida; Fasciolidae
Rfam family: tRNA
About the family: Transfer RNA (tRNA) molecules are approximately 80 nucleotides in length.
Source: Rfam by way of RNAcentral